CUUCUCUCUCUCGCUGAAAAUCCAAUCGAGCUCUCUCUCUCGAUUCACGGCUCCGACGAGGUUGCCGGCGUCGCCGCCGCCUAAGCCCGGCAAGAAAAAGAAAAAGGCAGCGGCUUGCCGCCGAGCCGUCGCCGGCCGUGAGCAGCCCCCGGCUGUUCUCACCCACUUCUAUUCCGGCGAGUAGCAGCGAAAGCCGCCGCCGAUCCCUGUGUUCACGGCUCAGCAGCCUCACAAUCUCAGCCCUCUCCUCGCCGAUCGACUGCAACGAAGGUCGCCACCUUCGACGGCCUCCUCCAACAACUCACACAUCCCGACUCACAACAACAACGACAACAGCUUCAUCUCAACACUCACGCCCACACACAAUGCAUAGAUACUCCCUUUUCUUUUCUUUAACCAAUUUGUGAUAAUUCUAAAAUGUAGUAGAAAGAACAUUUUAUGGAACUCAUUUAUCAGAAAAAGAACAAGGUAUGCGUGCUGAUUUCUGUGACAUAAUAUGUGUGCGUAUCCUCUGUGAAUUGUGCAGUCCUAGUUAGUGUUGAUUAUGUACAUGAACAUGUCAUCGGUGAUGGUUUUCUUUAUAAAAUGAAUGACUGAUUUUGAGUGUAUGUGUGAGUUGGUUUACCUCUUAUGAAAAUAAGUUGAUUUCUCCAGGAGUAAGUUGCUGUAAAUUGAUGUUGGCUGCUGUGGUGUUUGAAUCAGUGGAUAGAAACUGAAAUAAAUUGCUUAUUUGCUUAACAAUUGCAGGAUGAACUUAAUCAAAGGAGAAGAAAGCAUUGAAGCCAAGCAUUACCUUGAGAGCUUCGGCUGAAACGAACUGGAAUUGAUCCUCUGAACUGUUGGAUGAAAAUGAAAUGAGAGUGAAUAUUGCAUUUGUUGGGUGGGGAGCAAGUGGUGGUGGAGUUGAUAAUUAAAGGUUUGGAGAUAUUGGAGAUAGUGGUGGUGGUUGGCUGAGGGAGGAAAGCAAAAGGUUGGAGUGGUGUUGGUGGAGUAAAUACGUGUACAUCAUUAGCAAAAGAUGGAAAUAAAAAUUUUAUCUAAACUUUAAUUGAUUGAAGAGCUUUUGCUUUUGUAAUAUACUAGACGAUUUUCCCCAAGCUGGGAACUAGACUGUAAUCUGUGAACUGUAAAUAAAUACUGGCUUCGAUUUUAAAUCAUCGCAUUUCUGUA
This is a long non-coding RNA of Salvia miltiorrhiza (redroot sage), 1170 nucleotides long. RefSeq lists it as uncharacterized. Lineage: Eukaryota; Viridiplantae; Streptophyta; Magnoliopsida; Lamiales; Lamiaceae. The transcript has 2 exons. The record is from RefSeq and is a predicted model, not a curated record.